UGGGGAAUAUUGCACAAUGGAGGGAACUCUGAUGCAGCGACGCCGCGUGAACGAAGAAGGCUUUCGAGUCGUAAAGUUCUUUUAUAUGGGAAGAUAAUGACGGUACCAUAAGAAAAAGCCCCGGCUAACUACGUGCCAGCAGCCGCGGUAAUACGUAGGGGGCUAGCGUUGUCCGGAAUCACUGGGCGUAAAGGGUUCGCAGGCGGAAAUGCAAGUCAGGUGUAAAAGGCAGUAGCUUAACUACUGUAAGCAUUUGAAACUGCAUAUCUUGAGAAGAGUAGAGGUAAGUGGAAUUUUUAGUGUAGCGGUGAAAUGCGUAGAUAUUAAAAAGGAUACCGGUGGCGAAGGCGGCUUACUGGGCUCAUUCUGACGCUGAGGAACGAAAGCGUGGGUAGCAAACAGG
Molecule: ribosomal RNA, 403 nt
Filed under: bacterium
Lineage: Bacteria
Description: partial 16S ribosomal RNA
Rfam family: Bacterial small subunit ribosomal RNA
Source: RNAcentral